AUGGGUACCCAAAAGUCUGCUUUUAAAAACCAGCUUACUAAGACAAAAAUGAACAUUACUUACCAACCUAAAGCCAAGUGGCUUUGAUUUUACUUGCAUACAAUGCCCAGCUACUUAAGAAAGAGGGAAUCAUUAAUAUGUUGGGCUGUAGUCACAGCCUCUCCUUGUAGAAGGUACACAAAGCCACUAGAUAGAGCCGAAACGAUAAUACAACACUCAAAAAACUGCCUUUGAAAGUUUUCAAGCUCUUGGUGAGAUACACAACGCUUCUAUAUGAUGCACAGUAGGCGUGGAUGCUCAGCACAGGACUAAGAGUCCCAGUGGGGAGCUGUGAAUGAUAGUAAUAACAUUUCCCGCUGGGUUGGCGGGGUGUCUAGAGCCGAAACGCGGAUCAACUUUUGGCAUUACACAGAAGUGAUUGUGCGCACGUGCUCCGUUUCCCAUCCCUCUCCCUCUUAUAUCUAUGGUCUAACUGAAAGCACAAUGCUUUCUUUUUACUUUCUGAUUUUAUUGCACUUCGGGUACCAGUGUCACUGUGAGUGCGAAAGUGGUGAAAGACCGUUAAGUGGUGUGAUAACUUGCCCUUUGUUCAAUGGCACGGAGUGUGGUGGUGAGAUGAGAGGUAACUGCUCUUCUUGCGGCACCUGUAUCUGCAACCCUCCAUUCUUUGGACCUGAGAAUGGCUGCAGAUGUGAUGAUGCCUCCUGUAACUGUAAUGGCCGAGGGUCUUGUGUAUGUGGUGUACCUCCGGAGUGUGCAUGUGAUGCUCUAGCUCCUGUAUCUCAGGAGCAGUAUUUUGGUCCCACUUGUGAUUGUAAUCCUGACAUCUGCUUCAAUACUAACUGGACCAGUGAUGGAAGGAAAGCUGAACUGUGUCAAGUGGCAGAUGAUCCCAACAACAGUGGGAUAUGUACGUGUAAUGGGUGUCAAUGUGGACGAACUGCCACCGGUACGACGAGCGGGAAUGGUCUAUGUCUGCCCAUGACCCAGACGAGUACUUUUCCAACCCCUGCAAUGCUAUCGUAGGGGGGUGUACCUAUGAAUUCUCCGUUGGCCGACCAUCAUUUGCGUACAAUUUACCGGUGCUUAUUUUUGAAGACACUAUGGAUUGUAGAGGACGACCAACUUGGGCCCCCUAUACAAUAGCUGCUGGUAUAGUUCUACUUAUUAUUCUGCUGGGUUUUCUCAUCCCCUGUCUGCUUAAGAUUGGUUGCACUGUUUGGGAUAAAAAGCAGCACAGGAUGUUUACUGCAGAGCUACAGCAUGCCGACUUCACACCUGUCACACCUGAGGGUGUUCCUAGCAACGAUUGUGUUUAAUUUGGUCGGACUGUGUGCAACCAAGUGCGAAAUUGAUGUUUUGUGUCUUUUAUUUCAAACCUACAAAUGCACUUAAUUACCAAAUAAAUCAGUCACAUUACACCCCCUCCACACACACACAAACAGCACGAGAAUCCACCUUGUUUGCACUCAGCAAUUUUCUCUAAUUAAAUUUAUAUACACAACCUUUCUAUUGUAAUGCAUGGUUUAAUUUUUAGUCUGCAUUGUUUUUUCUUGAUGUAUUUUCUAGUGCCACACACACACACACUACACGCAUUGGAUCGCCUUAUCAUUGUAUAUACAAUCAA
Molecule: RNA transcript, 1627 nt
Organism: Halichondria panicea
Lineage: Eukaryota; Metazoa; Porifera; Demospongiae; Suberitida; Halichondriidae
Gene name: integrin beta-like protein 1
Exons: 8
Source: RefSeq, a predicted model, not a curated record